AUUGAACGCUGGCGGCAUGCCUUACACAUGCAAGUCGAACGGCAGCACGGGUGCUUGCACCUGGUGGCGAGUGGCGAACGGGUGAGUAAUACAUCGGAACAUGUCCUGUAGUGGGGGAUAGCCCGGCGAAAGCCGGAUUAAUACCGCAUACGAUCUACGGAUGAAAGCGGGGGACCUUCGGGCCUCGCGCUAUAGGGUUGGCCGAUGGCUGAUUAGCUAGUUGGUGGGGUAAAGGCCUACCAAGGCGACGAUCAGUAGCUGGUCUGAGAGGACGACCAGCCACACUGGGACUGAGACACGGCCCAGACUCCUACGGGAGGCAGCAGUGGGGAAUUUUGGACAGUGGGCGAAAGCCUGAUCCAGCAAUGCCGCGUGUGUGAAGAAGGCCUUCGGGUUGUAAAGCACUUUUGUCCGGAAAGAAAUCCUUGGCCCUAAUACGGUCGGGGGAUGACGGUACCGGAAGAAUAAGCACCGGCUAACUACGU
Molecule: ribosomal RNA, 485 nt
Filed under: uncultured bacterium
Lineage: Bacteria
Description: partial 16S ribosomal RNA
Rfam family: Bacterial small subunit ribosomal RNA
Source: RNAcentral